This 407-nucleotide ribosomal RNA is filed under the name uncultured bacterium. RNAcentral describes it as "partial 16S ribosomal RNA". It matches the Rfam family "Bacterial small subunit ribosomal RNA", at positions 30 to 526 of the family's 1533-position model. The record is from RNAcentral.
AUUGAACGCUGGCGGCAUGCCUUACACAUGCAAGUCGGACGGAGUGGCGAACGGGAGAGUAACGCAUCGGAAAGUACCGAAUAAUGGGGGAUAACUGUCCGAAAGGACAGCUAAUACCGCAUACUAUCAGAUGAGCCUCGUUCGGAUUAGCUAGUGGGUGGGGUAAAGGCUUACCAAGGCGACGAUCCGUACCUGGUCUGAGAGGAUGAUCAGUCACACUGGAACUGAGACACGGUCCAGACUCCUACGGGAGUCAGCAGUGGGGAAUAUUGGACAAUGGGCGCAAGCCUGAUCCAGCCAUGCCGCGUGUGUGAAGAAGGCCUUCGGAUUGUAAAGUACUUUCAGCUGGGAGGCGUUACCCACAGAAUAAGCACCGGCUAACUCCGUGCCAGCAGCCGCGGUAAUAC